Molecule: long non-coding RNA, 2842 nt
Organism: Bubalus bubalis (water buffalo)
Lineage: Eukaryota; Metazoa; Chordata; Mammalia; Artiodactyla; Bovidae
Exons: 2
Source: RefSeq, a predicted model, not a curated record
AUCCAGUGUUCUUGCCUGGAGAAUCCCAGGGACAGGGGAGCCUGGUGGGCUGCCGUCUAUGGGGUCACACAGAGUCGGACACGACUGAAGUGACUUAGCAGCAGCAGCAGCAACACCUGAGUGGGGCUUCUCCCCAUCCCAACACUUACCACGCGCUGCCUGCAGAGGCCCCCGGAGGAAGGGUCAGCUUGGAGCCACUACUUCUGCAGCUGUAUGAGACACAAGUGUUCAUGGCAAGGGGCUCUAUGGAGGUGGGGCAGGGAGCAUAGCAGCCACCCUACGCUGCUCUGCUUUCUGCAUCGCUGUCCCUGUAACUUUCAGCAGGCUGACACCCCUAGAAGCCAUGUCCACACUCCUUCCAGCACCUUCUUUUGUAGCAUCAACACUCCACAACAACCAACCCUGACUCUUUGGCCACCUCCACUCACUUCCCUCUCCACCAAACUGGCUCUAUGAUUCAGAGUCCUUCCAUUAUAGUCAGAUACAUCCAGCAAGGUAUUGACAGACCCUGUUAACUGCUAGUAACUGGUAAAGGUACAAGGUUGAGGUUCUGAUAUAGCAGAAAGGGCAUGGAGUUCAGUGCCAGGCAACUGGGGUUAGAACCCACGCUUCACCAACUCCCAACUAAAUGACUUUGGGUAAUUUACUGAGUUGCCACAUUUGUUAAAAUGGGAGUAAAACCUCCUUGAAGCACUAUUAACAGAGGCAUCUAUUAUACCUAUACUUUAUAGAGCUGUCACCAAUGAGAAUAAUAGCCAUACAGUGUCACAUGGUGGCCACUCUGUGGUAUGAGAAGUCACACCAUGGGCACCCUUUAUACCCAUUACCCCAGCAUCACAGAGAUCCUAAUGGUGGGGGAAGGGAGCCAACACUUUUUGGGGAUCAGAGAAAUUCAGUAGCUUGUUUUAGGUUACACAGCUGGUAAUUGGUAGAGCAGGUGUAUGAGCCCAGUCACCCAGGCUCUUAAACAAAUUACUGCCUUUACCUGCGUGUGUCCAGCUUGGGCACAGCCAACUUUAAUGAUUCUGGCCAAAGAUUCAUGCAGGUUGCUAUGAAAAAAAGUCACCCCUGAAACAUUAGGUGAUUAUAUUGAGCUACAGAAGAGUUGUACCUGGAGAGUCUGGUUUCUUACAGUUCUACAGACAUUCCAAUGGACAUCAGAGUGUGUUGUGGAGCCUUAAGUGAGCCAGCCAUGAUGAGAUCCAGGGUGAUUUGUUCCCAUUACACUAUGGGUACAAACAAAGGUUCUCAAACUUUAGUAAGCACCAGAAACACAACUUCUGGAGUCAGGAGGUCUGAGGUAGAGCUUGAGAAUUUGCAUUUGUGAUUAAGUUCCCAGUUGAUCCUGAUGCUGCGGGUUCAAAAGCCAUGCAUUGACAACCACCAGAUUAAAAUGUACUAUAAUAUUCCCAUCUCAUCUGUGUCCUGUCCUCCCAGAAUUCCAGGGAGUAAUCAGCAUACACAAGUGUAUCACAAAACCAGCCUCCAACCCAGAAAACUUAGCUUUGUGAUGAUGCCCUCGACGGUCCCCUUCCUCCCCAGCACCCUCCCGAAUAACCAAGGCCUCCCGGUAACCAGGACCCUGGGAGCGAGGACACUGGUGGGGCAGCUUCAUGUCUGUUCUCUGCCCCAUGUGUCUACACCAAGCAGGGAGCCAGACUUGACCCCUUUUGCCUCUGGAAACAUUUGCCACAUUAGCCAACUGGCUAAGCCUGGCUCUUCUCCAGAAUCCUGAGCACCUUGAUGGGACUGUGCAUAGGAGGGAGGGGAGAGUGCCCUGCAGGGCAGAAAUUUCUGCUCGAGGCACUUCUGGGAGAAAGGGCCUCAGGGAAAUGGCUUCUUGGUGCAGAUAGGGAGGCUGGACACAUCCCAGCCUAGGCAGAAGCCCCCUCCUCACCUCACCUCACCUCUCCUCUCGUGCCCCAUGGGCCCAGGACUAGCAGAGAAGCCCACCUUCAAGGACACGGACAGUGAGGGGAGCAGGCACAAUCACAAUGGACUGAAGGCCCCACGGAAGUCCCUCCCCCCAGUUCUUGAGUAACUCACAGGAAGAGGAGGGGCCCUUCCAUAGUGAAUGAGAUGGAAUUCUCUAGUCACCUCAAUGGGAUGGAGGGAAGAGGCAGAUUUAAAACACCACUGCUGAGCAAACCUGCCCCUCGGUACACACAGCACAGAAGACACAGCAGCCAGCUGAGAUCUCACUGAGGCGAAGGCUGCUGAGAGCUGGAAGGGCAUUUCGUGGUGAUUCACACAUAGGGAGCUGGACUUCCUUCAGUCUCAGAUGAAGAUCCUGGAGUUUAGAGACACAAAGAACAGGCCCAAACCAAUGAAUGUUAUAAAAACAAAUCAAGGAACAAAUAUGAACAUGGCUGCAGUAUACAGCAUAACGAGAGUAUUCUCAAGGAAAAGCAGUGUUCCUAGAAUAAAACUUAUCUUAUGUUCUAAAAGCACAGUUAUUCUCAGCCAAAGACCUGGUAUCAUGGGAGAGAGGGGCUAAGAAGAAUACAGGAAGGAGAAAAAGAAUGUUUAAUCACAUCAGCUCAUAUACCUUAAGGUGUCAACCAAUCGGUAGCAGCCAUCAACAGUCUACCACCUGUGAAUUUAAAUGCCAUUGGAGAAAUUUUCCUUUAAAAAUUAACAUAUUCAUUAGAAUCUCAUCUUUCUUUGAAACAAUACACAUAUAUACACGUAUACAUGUAUAAUAUGAAAGUAGGGAAGAGAUCCAUAUGUAGAAACAUAUUGUUGUGUUAAAAUGGUUAUGGGUCAUUGGUAGGAUAAUGAAAAUUUUUGUUUGAUGGAUUUUCAAAUUUUUUAUGAUGUAAAUAAAAUUUUUUGAUCAGAA